Molecule: long non-coding RNA, 10244 nt
Organism: Chinchilla lanigera (long-tailed chinchilla)
Lineage: Eukaryota; Metazoa; Chordata; Mammalia; Rodentia; Chinchillidae
Exons: 2
Source: RefSeq, a predicted model, not a curated record
GUUUCUGUUCCUUGUUCUCCUGACAUGAUUAUCUAACUUCUUCUCUAAGUGCGGUGACAAAGCAAAGUUUUCUUUCUUUCUUUUUUUUUUUUUUUUAAAGAGGUACCUAUGUGCAAGUUGAAGGUGCUGUUUAUGGUUUUUGUAACCGGGUGCUUCAGGAUAAGCAAGCGUGCAAUGUUCACCAGGAAACCAUUCCAGGGAAAUGUUAUCAGUGGUGAGGAAUUGAAGCUCCCUGUUCAUUUUACACUUUUACCACCCAUUCUUUUGAAGGAGAUCUGUGAGUACCAUCCUUCCCUCUGUGGAGCAUGUACCUCUUCCAUAGAUCUUUCCUUCCUUGAGUUUGAUGGAAGUAAGAGAUCCAGCCAAGUUCAGCAGACAGCUAAAUUGUAUCAUUUAGUAAUCAAACUUGCCUUCAUUUAAAGGAAGACUUGAUUUAUUUAUCAGCAGACUUGAUUCUGGAUAAACUUUGGAUAUUUAUAAAAAUCAAGCCCUCCCUUAAAAAAAGAGAAUUUGCAACAUUUGCAUUUUAAAAAAUGAAGAAGGCUUUGAUGACAGUUCCAUACAUAAGAAAAUCUCUUGAGAAAUCAAUAGAAUCAACGGGAAAUUCUCCACAGUCACCGAGUGGAAGCGGACAGCACUUACUAGCUCGAGUUUGCAUAUUUUGAAUGAAUGAUUCUUUGAUGUUUACGUGUUAUUCUAGGCAGAUUUACUGCCGUGAAGUAACAACUGGAAGAAUUCUCUUUUGUGCAUGUGUGCAUGUGAGUAGGUGUGUUUCUUUUACUUUUUUCUCUCCUACUUCUUGGCAUGAAGAGGAGAAUAGCCAGUUCAGGCAACAUCCUCCGAGAGCACAAAAUUCAUUUUAAGAAAAUAAAGAAGGAAAGCAAGAGCAAAAAGGAGAGAAAGAGAAAUCAUCAAAAUGAGGAAGUGAUCCCUCUAAUUAUCAGAAACAGGAGCAAAGUAACAAUGGCUGAAAUUCACCUCCCCAUGGGGGAAUGAAUCAUCAGAAUAACCGGUGGAAAACAAGGUUGUGUAACCUUGACCAGCGUGUGUCACCGGCUGGUGGAAUUUUUAGAAAGACAGCAGUUUGGGUUCAUCACUGUGGUUCGUGAUUGCACACACCUGUUUGGGGCAUGGAUUUUGCAACCCCCCAAAAAGGGGAAACUGAACUUACUGCUUCUCCUGAGCUGUGUAAAAAAGCAGAAAACCACAGCUGCUCUAGCAGUUAACAGAUAUCAGUAAAACACCCAUGUUACAUAAUUAAGGAUAACGUUCCUGAAGCAUAUGGGCCAAAGGUAUUAUACUCUCAUUAAAACUUUAGGUAGCAGACAAUUUACCAUAUUCAUAUACAUUCCAAAGGUUGGAGUGUAUAAUAGAUGCCUGUAAUUAGGCAUGUUCUAAACAGUUUAUUAAAUAAUACAUGAAGGAAAUGGUUGAUGAAAUAUAGACAGUUCUGAAGUUUGCAUCAAAAUGACAAGGAGGCAUCGGGAUGAGACAUAAAAGAUUUCUUCUUAUUGACAUGGCAACUACUCACUUUAAGCACCUUAAGUAAGACUGGAAGAGGUUUCAUUUGUCAGCCCAGCUUGUCAGUGAUCUUACAGAAAGAAGAAUUGGUGACUAUAUUUUUUCUUUUCUUUUUAGAUACAUUUUAUGCGGCAAUCUUCCUUGAACUGCUAAUCCUGAGGAUUAAGUGCUUUUGACCACAGCAAAACAAAAAUCUCAUGCACAUUAUUCUCUCAGGAAAAAUCAGACUGGUAGGGAAUAUUAAGCCAAGCAUGGCCUAAAUCAACACUGAAAAAUAUUACACCUUUGCCAAGAGGUGCUGUCAUUUAUAAGUUGGAUAGGAAUAAAUAAGAGAAAUUUCUUGUGAGAAUCACCAAGGCAGGUGUUUGCUCCCUGGGGAAGUGGUAGGAAACAUGCCCCAGAGACGAUGUUAGAUGCAGGAAAGAAAUUCUUUCAGUUCUGCAUCUCUGUGUGAUGUUCAAGCCAGGUGGAUGAUUCUUACCUGAACGGAGGAAUGUGUAAACUGUGGAAAGUGUGGUUGGAUGAUCCCAGGAAGCCUCCGAGGGAACAAUGACCAUUCUCUUAAACUGUUAAAGUCAUCUAGAUAUUUUGUUCCCCAAAUAUACACAAAUAAGAAACCUGGUGAUAGAACAAAUAUGGUAUUUGGAAUGCCUUCUAGAACACACUUCAGGGAACUGGCAGAGCUGACAUAGCUUUUACUGAUUUGUCUGCCUCCUAGGUGAACGGGGCUGCCAGUCUGGCAGUUUGCUCUGGCAAUAAAUCACGAGUAGACAUUUUAUUUAAAAAUUGGCACUGGCUUGGGGGAGGUAAGGGAUUGUCAAUUUGUUUUUAUUUUGAGGCCGGGCACAGUCAUAACAUACACAGGCCACCUGGAAACUUCGGCCUUCAUGGAGAAGCAUGGCUCAGGUUUGUGGCUGUAUUUUUGCAUGCUUGGAGAGUGUAGAGCUAAAUUAGAGUUCAAGGACUCCUGACCAGGAAGACCCUGGCAUACUGGUACAGCCUGGAGGCAUCUCUGUUGGAAAACAACUUGGUUCUGGAAUUGUGAUGUUGAAUGGGCAUCAUAAAUAUGAUAUAGGAGAGAAUAUUUGGUGGACUUCUCUUUUAUUGGUGGGACCCACAUAGCCCGUUCAUAACAUACAACUGGUGCACUCCAAAAAUCACACCAAAGCUAAAAAACUGUGUAAAGCCUAUGUGCCUGUAUUAUCUCUCUCUCUUCCUCUCUCUCUCUUGCUCUCUGUCCUCAAAAUUCACUUUCAAAUUUGUGAUAAAUUAUCUCAUCAUUUUAAGUAAAAUUAUGUUGAAGUUAGCAAAAAUAAUAUGAGAAAUAAUGAAUAUUCUUUCUUUGAAAGCUAGUAUAACUAUAAAAUGGUAAUUCACCCUGCCCUGGGUUCAGAAGGCAGCAUCCCUUAAAAAUGAUGGUAAGAUAGGAAGAAGAAACAGUUUAUCCUGGACCCCUAUAACCAUUUCAACAAAAAUAGUUGAGAUGAAUUCCUUUACGUUCAUUUGUUUCCUGGUUCUCUGAAUAUUCUGCAAACCUCAUAACAUCUCUGAACAAAGUUUUAGGUUUUCCUACUUUGAAAAUAUGAAUUAUUUUGUUACAAAAGUUAUAUCACACGUACUCCGACUUACCACCCCACCAGAUUUUGAUUUCUGCUUACACAUAUUCAUAAAUUGUAAAGAUACUUUAUAUAGUUACCAUACAAACUAUUAGAAUGAGUAUUUUUAGAAUAGAGAUACACUUAUCUAAGCAUGGCCUCAUGAAUGACUGCAUUUAUUUCCUUUUAAAAAAUACCCAAUUUGCUCUUGAUGCUACAAAUUUUUGAACUGGAUUCAACUUGUUCUUCAGAGAUGUCCCUCCCAAGAUUUUGUGUAUAUAAAUUUGAUGAGAUAAUAUAUCAAAAAAAGUAGGAAAAAAUACACACUCAUUUUCUUGCUUGGUGAAAUCAUUUGGAGUGAUAUAAAUGUCUACAGCAAACAAGAGAACUAUCCCAACAUUGCCUUUAACCAGUUGGCAACAUUCUGGUGUGUAUUCAGUACAUGGAUAUAUUUGAGGAUAUAUGGCAUUAAUUUCUCAUAAAGAUUUGAAGGAUUGAAUAUCUGACUUGAUAGGAUUUUCUUUAUUGUAAGACAUGUGAGACCCUUUACCAAGUAUUUAUAAAAGUCUCGUUAUGAAUGCAAUGGAGUCUGCACUGUAGUGCUUCAAAAGAUGCUUAGAAAUGAGAAUAUUCAUAAAAUAAUACAAAAGAAAAAAGGAGAAAUAUAUGUAAAGCAAGCACUUGAGAAAAAGCCCAUAAUUAUUGCAGUUUGAGCAUAUCCAAUACCUGUACUUAAUGUCACAUACACAAAUCUUUACUCAACAAGAUCAAGAUGCACCAUACACUGUGGAUGAGCUAAUGUGUUGAAAUAUCUUGGGUAGUCUCCAAAAUAGUGCAGGUAAUUAGCAAGUGUUUAUAUUUUUCAUUUAAAUUUGCCCACAGGUACUGUUUUGGAAACAGUAACAUAAAGAUUUUUAUCUUGGCAUGUGUUUCUAACAUUUGUCUGGAUUUAAUAUACACAUUAAUUUGAAUUGAAUUUUUUUGAUCUACAUUUUUCAUACUUUAUGACCUUAAGUGCCAAUAUGUGGAUAUUUACAGGGUUCUGGAGUUUUCCAAUCAACCUGUUAAUUUCAAGAUAUUAAGUUUCUAGUGUUUUUCUAGUGUUUACCUUUUCCCCCUCCAUAGUCAGAAUUGAAAUGCAGCACUAAAAAUUGUGUGUGUGUGUGUGUGUGAGGAAAAGUGUUAAGCCACCUCUCACUUUUCGGAUUCAGAGUUCUAAUCUUAUUUUAACCAUUUAAUUUUUUUAAAAAACCUUUUUUUCAUGCUGAUGUUUCACACUGGACAUCAUAAUUUCUUUAACAAAGUGACAUUUAAAGAUGAUUCAGGGGGGAAUAUGUUUGUAAUACAUUUUUAAGAUUUGUUAUUUUUCAAGGAAAGUAAAUGUCGCUAACAGUUAUGGAAUUCUUCACACACAAAGUGCACAUCCAUGCACAUACUUGCUCGCACUUGCUCACUCGCUAACUCGAACAAAAAUAGUGUCUGAGGGAAAGAACUGCAAGGCUGGUGCCAACUUCCCCAACAUACCCAAGCAUUUCUUUAUUUAGAACCUCCCAUGUGCUAUUUUUUUUUAAAUCUCUGGAAUCUCAGGGAUUUUCCCAUCCCUCUACAUGCUUAAGACAUUUCAGGGCAUGGUAACCCCCUGUUGGAAUCCUCUAAGUCUUCUGUUUUAUUUUUAUAAUGUGGGCUGCACUAGUGUACGGGAAGUGACUGUACCUACGACAGAGGAGCAUGAGAUUCCAGUGUGUACUGUGAGAUCUCUGAAGACCGCGGUUGGAGAAGGCAACUCUGUGGCUACCACAGCCUCCUUUUAAGGCAUCCUAGAAAAUCAAGAGAUUUUGAAUUAAGAGCUUUGUGAGAAGGUGAGGAGCACCCUGUGUGGCAGCAAUGGUAGUAUAACUCUCAGUUGCUCACACGUAACAGUUGAUCUUUGCCAAAAGUCUAACAUGGAAUGUUGGACCUUUUUGUGCUCCUCAAAUUAGAAUAGCACUGAAUUUUGGUGAUCCAUUUGCCUUCCACACUGGCAAUGGCAAUUUGGCUCUUUUUUAGGCCAGACUGUGAUAAUCUCCGAGGCAGUUUUCCUCGUAUUGUCCCUCUGCAUCAUAUGUGGGAGACUAUUAAUAUAUAUUUAAAAAUCAUAUCAUAUUUACAUAUUGAGUUUGUGAUACAAACGCUACUGCCUUUACAGCAAAGCACAAUGUGCGACUGCAGAAAACUCCUUUUCACUUAUGAACGUCUGAGUCUGAGAUUCACACAAGCCACACUUUUGUUUGAUUCCAAAAUGUGGGUGCCAAAUGAAUCUACUGCACUAGGCUUAUGAACACUACCGCAACUGUGCAGCCACUAUUUCUCUACUGGGAGAAUUGUUUCAGCAGAUAAACCAUCUGGCUUGAAACACAGCCCUCUUUGAAAAUAUUCCCCAUUAUGUUAGCUCUGAAACAAUGUGUACAACUAUGCUCCAGCCGAGGACAUGGUUAACAGAAUUUCAAUGUCAAACAAUAUCUUCUCUGUAAUCUUCUGCUAAAUGCAGAAAAAAGAAGUAAUCAAAAUGCAAGAUUUUAAUUUUUAAAGGGUCAUUCUGUGUGGUGUACAAGAUGAAAAUCCAGAAAAAUUUUUAGGAAGAAGCUGUAAUAGAGAGUGUUUAAUAUAGUAACUUUUCUUCUUUAAGAAGAAAUGUGGCUCCUUUGUUGUAGAUAUCAUGAAUGUAGUGAAUUAAUGCUUUGUGUCAUUACUAUCCUUUCUGCUAAGUGUUUUUGAGCACAAAUUGAAUCUAUAUGGUAGGCGAUCGUUGGAGAACGGUAUUUAUAGCUGGAUUCUAAAGUGAACUUAUGUCACUCAGCAAUUUAUGAGUCAGAAACACUAUGGAAAAACUAAAACAAAUGAUAUUAGGAGGAAGACCUACCUUGCUGUGGGAACAACUAGAGCAAGCUUAAUAGAACAGGUUUUAAGAAUCCAUUCUUAGCAAUAUUUUUCUUUUUUGGUACUGAGAAUUGAACUCAGGACCUUGCGCUUGCCGGGCAGGCACCUGUACCACUAAGCUAUGGUCCUAGCCUGUGGUUUUAAGAAUUCAGAACAACAUUACUGUUAUGGAGGCAAGCUAAAGGGAAAAGGGGAAUUAAAAGUAUAUUAUUUAUUUAUUUGUGGUUUGAUUUUUUUCCGGUACCAGGAAUCGAACUCACAACCUUGUGCUUGCCAGGCAGGCGCUGCGAUGCUGAGCUAAAUCCUCAGCCCUAAAAGUAUGUUAUUUAGAUUUGAAACUAGUGUGUUAUCAAGAAAGAACACUUGACUGAUGUAAGAAAGUUAUAAAAUAUCAUUGAACCCAUCUGAGUCUAUCAGACCAGAAAAAUCUACAUUUGGGAUAUCAGUUGGGGUGUCUGUAGAAUCAGCAUGUCCCUGAAGUGAAGUUAAUUUUGGGCUAACUCCUCCUAAUUAUUACAAAGCCUGUAGGAUGAGAACAAUUUUAAGGAACAGACCUGCUUGGUCAGGUCUCAACUGAUGAGAAAGACUGGUUCCAUUAGAUGAUAAUUCCCAUGAAGUACAAAUAAAGUGGAAUAUCGAUAAGGUAUACUGAUUCCCAACCCCAAACUGCUUUGUACAUCAAAGACCAAAAAUUUUUUUUUUUGUUUCAUUUUAAUUUUUACUAAAUGGAAUUUAGUCCUGUUAUUAGUCUUUCUAGAUCCUUCCUUCUCCACUGUGGCAUUAGCUGUGGAAAUAUACAUCUAUCAACAAUUGUCUCAGCUUUAACUUGUAAGGAACCACGCUGCUUCUUUUUUUUCUAGCACUUUUCCAGAUGAAAGAACUAAUGUCAUUAGAGUUAAAUCAUGUUUCCUUUCAUUUUACACUUUUAUUGUGUUGGAUAUCCAAGUACUGGUCAAAAUGAAAGACUUUGUCUCGCACACUGUAAUCUCUAAGUAAUGAUUUCUGAAAAAGAAAAAACGCUGCUGAGUCACAUUAAUCCACCAAAAGACUCAAGAGGAUCCUCAGGAAGGACUAAUUUACAAGACCUUGUAAAUAUAGGCCAGGGCUGAGGUCUGCCCCUGGGUCAGAGGAAGGCUACUUUGAGGGUUUAGAACAGCAAAGAUGGAGGAACAUUUAGUCCUCAUGAUCUAAGUGUUAUGUAUUUAGUAAAAUGGAAUAUAUAUAUAUAUAUAUAUAUGUAAUCUCCAUAUUUAUUUCUCACAAUUAGUUUAGAAAAAUGAACAAUUGCCCAUCAAUGUUGGGACCAAUAUCACUUUUGCCUUACAGAAGAGAAUAGACAGAAAUGUGGUCAAGUCUGAUUCUAUCACUGUUUGCUUAUACAUGGAUUCUCUUUCCACCUGGAAAAUAUACCACGCAUUCCUGGGAGCACUAGGAUUUUCUCAGUGUCUUCAGGACCACUAGCUGAGCAGAUGCUCUAUUAACUUAUACUGUGUCUAUUUUUAUGACUAAGAAAUGAACUCUAGAUUCAGUCUUUAGCAGGAAAAGAACAAUCAGCAAGUUAACAUGCUGGACUUCUACGAAGUCUACACUGGUGAAGGUUAAUUAUCACUCCUAUAUUGCAAGGUCUGCUGCUGCAAGGAGAGUACUUAGCUUGUGAGCUUGUGUUUACUUUCCACAAUUUUUUCUCCUCAGCAGUGACUAAAACACAGUGACAUUUGGCAGUUUCUCUUGUUGAAGAGAAAACUGAGGCAUUGUUAAACUUUAACAGGAUACUAUAUUUGGUUAUUUUCAGCUCUUAAUCCUCCUGCAAUUUUAUAGAUUGUGUUGUAUCUGUGUUGUUUGUGUAUGUGAGUGUGUUUGUGUGUGGCCACAGCUAAAUAGCCAGAGUUUUUUUUUCAGGAGGGGGUCUUUUUCUUGAGACAGGGUCUCACUCUGCAGUUCAGGCUGGCCUUGAACUCACUUUUUAGCCCAGACUGGUCUUGAACUCUCAAUUAUCCUCCUGCCUCAGCCUCCCGAUGUAGGAGCAUGGCCACCGAACCCGGCAAUGGCCACAGUUUUAAAGUUUCACUAGAUUCAUUUAGAUGUGGAUAUAGGAUGAAUCUUUAGUCUUGCAAAGAUAAAAUACAAGUAAUUUUCACUGUAAAACAGAUAGUUUUGUGACUUGUCAGGAGGUGAUCUGAAUUUGAUAAAGGCAAUUAUUUGAUGCUCUCUACAUAAAAGUGAAGUUCUCUGUGUGUUUAGUUAGCAUUUUCGGUGAAGAAGUUUUAGAAUGGAAAAGACAGUUAUGCUGAUCAUAGUUCCACAAAUGAGAGUCUGAGGAAAUCCAGGGAGCCCUUGCCCCCGAGAACUAGGUAAGAAGGACGAGGGUGAAUGAUUUGCCCUUUUUCUACCUUGUGCAUUUCUUCAGGUAAAUUGUGUUUCUCAACCCGCUUAAGCCUGACAAAGAAGUCACUGUAGCAGAUUCAGGUAGGUUCUCUCCCUGCCUUAAAUGGAAUGUGAAACACAAUAAUCCAAAGUAGAAUUAUAAUCUGAGGGUCAUUGCUGUUUAUUCAAGUAGGUUAAGCCAUAGUUGAAGUUUAUAAGAAACAAGAAAUGAAAGCUAGCUUUACUAAAUGUGCCAAGGUGUCAGUGUUGAGGGCAGGUAAGGUAGAUUAAUAACAGGCCACUCCUAAGAAGGUUUGGGCUCUUACUGUCAGAGGGUAAUAAUUAAUGAUCAAGUGUUAAUGGAGAUACUGGGCUGUUGAUGUCAUUAAUUCAGCUCAGUGGAGCCAGUUCUGCCCAGGACCUGCCACAGCUGUCACUGCAUUUGCUUAAUUAUUCCAGUGCCUUCCGGCUCUUUUUCUUUCAUUUUUUUCCCUUUACCCUUUUUUUCCCUUCUCAACUAUAGGACAUUAUGUUUUCACUGAUGCAGAAUUAUGAAGAGCGUCUUGCUCUCUGGGCAGUGCCUGGCCUAAAAUACGUGAAAAUCCAAAGGUCACAAAGGAGACCAUAACUUGUUUCUUAGAUGAAAAGAUGGCAAAUGCUGAAGAAAGGCCAUCUUUAAAUAGCCCGAUUGUGCUAAUAUAAUUUUGGGGUCCUUGAAGGAUUUAGAUGUUGAAAGUGAACUCUGGGCUGUGUAAAAUGUCAAAGUGCUCACCCUUUCCUGCAAUCAAACAAAGAGAAUGCAGAAAAUAUAGCGCAAGAGUGUUGGUAAAACAUAAGGCCGGACAAUCAUCUGUGCAACAGGAAACCAAAAAGUUAGCUUUACUGGGCAAAUCGAGGCAAAGAGAAAUAUCGUGAAGGAAAUGCCACUAUUAAAAUUCAGCCGUAGGAGUGUGUGAAUUUGCCUGCUAUGCUUACAGAGCCUUCUUGCAUUUCUUUAGCUUUGUAUCUCUUUUAUCUCUCACAUUGCCUCAAGUGUAAGAAAAACCAUCCUUUCCCUUUCUAAAUACAGUUUGGAUUUUUCUCCCCUGGCCUGUCCUAACAAUCCCUACAUUUCUUGUUUACCUGUUUCCUAAUUGGAACAGAGCAUUCAUUUCGCUUUUGAAAGACACCCACCUUUCAAGUUGUAUCAUUUUAAAAAAAAUUGUUCUUUGUUUUUCAGGUCUAUAUUUCUAGUUCUGAUGAGUCAAACUAGUCCAAUGUGUCUUGAGCUUCCAGACGAGAAUGCUCUUGACUCACUUCCAAACUGAAAUGCUUCGAAAAUGUGAGGCACUACAACAAUUUUAAAUCUCUCUCUACAAUGCACAUGGCAAUUUAAAAUAAUUGAAACUCUUCAAAUUUUUAUAUGCUCUCAAAUUUGGAAGUGAUUGGUUCUGAGCAUGUGCAGGACACAGUGAUUUAAAGUUAUUAGAACCCCUCCGAUUUAUCAUAAGUGUUUUAGCUUGAGAGAAAUGGGGGAACCUGGACUUUGGCAGUUAAAAGUGAUUUAAUAUUGUCAUUACACUCAGAUGUUCUGCAGGUGAUCAGAAUUCUGGACACUUGUGUACAUUUUAAAAAUCACUGUUAAAAUGAUGCAUUUUUUAGAUCCAAAAGAUGUUAUUAGCCUGCAAGAAGAAGCAUUUAAAUAAACCACUUAAAAUGCACCAUAACACAAUUUUACUUUUAUUGCUACAGUCCCCACUGAUGACCUGAAUGUGAUCAUGAUUUCAAAGCCAAAUGCUUGAAUUUGGCAAAGAAUGGAAGUGUUGUCUUCUAGACCAAGCAUGAAAAAAUAAAUACUCGGUAAAAACA